AACCUAGCACACCUGCGGUGUGUACCUGCGGAAGGAUCAUUGAUGAAUUCAAGGCGGCGUCGGACCGUGCUGGCCCCUCGGGGCAUGUGCACGUCCGGCGUCGUCCAUCUCACACACACACCCGUGCACGCUUUGGAGGCACGGCGAGUUCGUAGGGUUUGCCGGCUUCGCGUCGGCUCUCUCGGGAGCGAGCCGUCCUCCUACCUUUUUCAUACACACCUCUGUGAUGUCCCGAAUGUC
This 240-nucleotide unclassified non-coding RNA is filed under the name soil metagenome. RNAcentral's name for it is "partial contains 5.8S ribosomal RNA, internal transcribed spacer 2, and large subunit ribosomal RNA". The record is from RNAcentral.